UCCUUACAGUGGCUCCUAUAAUACAAGCCAUGCUGGCGGCACAGCUGUCCUGUUUCCGCCUGGUGUUAAAGCGUCCGAGGUCAUGGAGCAAGGGAAGUCGGCUUAGCUGGACCCCGGAGCAGGAGCCGGACCGUCCUGCAGAUGUCAUCCUCUGUGAACCACAUCAGGCUCAUACCUUAUUUUUUCUUACAUUUUAAUUCUAUGUAGUCUUGUACCUGUGUUUGUCAUAUCAAAUAAAAUUGUUCCACUGAAA
This is a long non-coding RNA of Myripristis murdjan (pinecone soldierfish), 253 nucleotides long. RefSeq lists it as uncharacterized. NCBI's taxonomy places the organism in Eukaryota, Metazoa, Chordata, Actinopteri, Holocentriformes, Holocentridae. The record is from RefSeq and is a predicted model, not a curated record. The transcript has 3 exons.